CGUGUAUUAAAGAAAUUUUGCCAUAAACUGAAUGAAUGUGGCGUCAGCAAUAAUUGUCAUACGCCAGAAUGAGGCUUUAUUUGCAUAUCACAUAAGCCUAAAUACAUCACAUUUUAAAUAAUAUCGUUCGUGUACAUAUAUACGAAAGAGUCUAAAUUAACGUGUAUCAUUCAUUUAAUUAUAGCGUGCUUCCAAACGACCAAAUGACGUGGUUUGCGCACGUUUAAUAAUAACACAUAAUGCGUUCAUUGAAUGCAAUUAGAAUAAUUAACUAAUUAGACAAUUAAAAAUUAAAUUAAUUAGUUUGACAUAUGUUAUCACACAGUCAGUAUUCCUGCUCCUGAAGCUGGACUUGUGAUAUAAAUUGUUGCCUUGUCGUAGCCAGCCUACAACAAACAAAGAUAGUUUACUACUAGUACUACUACAUUAUAAUUUUCUGAGGGUAUAUCCGCACAAGUCUAAAGCCCUGGGCAAACUAGGAAACAUUGUUGUCGGGAAACAUUUGUGAUUCUCGAUGUUUCCUCAAAUGUUUCCCUGUUUUCCCACCCGUGGAAACAUUGUUGCGGAAACAAAAUUUGCUUCCCGAGAAGCAAAAAGGUUUCCUAGCGAAUUCAGAAACAUUUGAUGUUUCCCUAUGUUUCUCACUAAUGUUUCCUAGUGUUUGCCCACUCUGGGAAACAUGGCGAAACAUUGGCAGGAAACAAUGUUUCCGCAACAAUGUUUCCUAGUUUGCCCAUGCGGGGCUUAAGAGCCUUACACAAAGACAGUUUAAUUAAAACUUCUUUCAUUACACACAGAUCACUACCCUGGUUCCAGAGGUUUAUUUUUAUUAUUUUCAUUGCGAAGGGGAGAGGAAAAAUAAACCUCUGGUUGAAAGCGGCAAUUGAUUCAUCAAGCCGCGCCAAUCAG
Molecule: non-coding RNA, 909 nt
Organism: Paramuricea clavata
Lineage: Eukaryota; Metazoa; Cnidaria; Anthozoa; Malacalcyonacea; Plexauridae
Source: the annotation of a GenBank genome assembly